Molecule: long non-coding RNA, 332 nt
Organism: Hordeum vulgare subsp. vulgare (domesticated barley)
Lineage: Eukaryota; Viridiplantae; Streptophyta; Magnoliopsida; Poales; Poaceae
Exons: 3
Source: RefSeq, a predicted model, not a curated record
AAAAGCAAAGGGACAUUUCAGCACUCCAGCUUCCUUGCCGGUGGAGCCACAUUUGCUGCCGGGAGAUUAGUCCUCGCGAACGGGAUCCUAAAGGCUGUCUGGCCUCAUAGCGGGCACUACCGGCCCACGGAGGCGAACUUCCGGGAGUUCAUGAAGUAUCUCAGGAAGAGGAACGUCGAUCUCACGGAUGUGAAGUUGAGCCCAACAGAAGGCGAGGAGGACGAAUGGCUGAGGAGCAGCCUCUCCCAGAUGGAUCUUUCUGCUAUGGUCCUUCUUCCGCUACUUAUAUAUGGUUUUAAGCUUGGUAUAACAGGAGCCGCAAUUUCUACGGU